AGAGCUGAGAGGACCAGCCAUUUUACUUAUGGAAAACAGUGUGGCAUAUUCUGCUGAGCUUCUCCCUGGAAGAAGCCUCUUUUAUACAUCUCUUCAGGGAAGAGAGAAGCAAUGGGCAUGUUAGUCUACAAUGAUCACAGCCACGCAGGCCUGCAAGCUGCCUUUUGGACAGGCUGUUGACUGCUGUUCCAAUUAGCUGAUUGGAGAAUGUGGAAUGCAGAGUGAUAAUGCUGCAUAUCUGCUAUCAGGCAGCAGCAAAGGUUUUUGUCUUGGGAAGGCAAGCUUUCCCUGCAAUAUUAUCUCAGCAGCUCCCUAGCUGCUUACCCUGAAAACGAGGGAUCCAAACGGAGGGUGUUGCCCUCUGCUAACGCUGGUCCUGUGCGUGGCUGUGGCAUGUGAGCGGCAGGUCUGAAAAAGCAGGUGUGUGCUGGGACGGGCACUGGACUGGAACGCAGGCGGACGCUCUCGGGUUUACCUGCUUCCUGUUAACAGAUUGUGGGCUCCCAGGGCAUAUGUCUGCACGCUGAGGCCGAGGCGGAGAAGGGGCUUCCUGAGCGUCCCAGUACACUGACAGAGACACUUGGAUUGGACUUAAUCUUAAACCUCUGGAGUUCAAGACCUUUUAAAAAGGGCUAAAUAAACAAUCUCUACAUGUAAAAGGCCACUGACUCCUGCUUCCUCUGUAUAGAGCAACUGUUGAACUCAGCUGCCUGUAAGUAAGAUUUUUUGUUCCAGAAUUAUUUGUUUUCUGAUAUGUUCAUAACUAAUGUCUUUAAAAUAACUUACUUAUAGUGAAAAUAAUAAGGGGAGUUGUGAACAAUUCCCAGGUAAACACUGUGUUCCAGAAUACAGCAGGAGCAUCUGGGCAUUUUUGUGGCUGUAAAUUUUAAACUUUGCUUAAAGCUCUCAUAAUAGUGACCUGCAGUACAGACUUGACUAUGACUAAGCCAUGGAUCAGAGGUCUAAUUAAGCCUGAUUGCCAGAGCAAUGAGAGGGUGUUUCAGACAUCAUACUUCUGUUGUUUAGACUGCUUUAUUUUUAACUUACCAGGGGCAUUUAAAAAAAAAAAAAAGCGGAAAAAGAUGCAACCAUCCACCUGAGUAAAGAGAAUACAUAUAAGUAAUUGUUCUUUAAGGGCAAUGAGCGAGCCGUAUUGUAUAAUGUUCUCCUUUCAUCACCGUUUCGUUCAUUGCUCAUGUGGAAUUAGAGUGGUUGAUCUGGGGGAUCUGGGGGUUUUGUUUUUGUUAUUGUUGUUUUGUAUGUUCCUGGCACAUUUUAGGGGACAGUUUUGAGGAUUCCUUACUAAGCUGACUAUCUUUUGCUGGGUACAUCUGCUGGCAGGUUUCUCUAAUGUGACAAUGUGAUACUUCGGGUCAGUUUCAGUGGCUCCCCUCUCCCCCUUGUUACGCUUGUACUUGACAUUUUGCGAAGUACUUUGAUCUGUGGACUUUAACUUCAAACGCAGCAUUUACUUUGAUUGUGGCUAUUUACUAUGUUCAGUAAAAAGUCUCCUUUUUUUUCCUUUUGGUUUAAUGCUUUGAUAGCAUUUCCUUUAAACAAUUUAUUGGAGCUUUAGUUUUCCUCACUGAUCUGUCUUAGAUUUUACUUCUAGAGGGACCCCCAAUUAUAAGAAAAGUGUUCUCUGGUAAAGUUCUCCCCAACACAGACUUCAUGACAGUUCAUGACCCCUGUCUGGCAGAUGUGUAAGAGCACGCAGCAAAUGACAGUGCACAGAGCCCCGCGCUGGCUACCCUGCUGCCUCAGAAUCUCUGUGUGCCUUGGGGCCCAACUGGUGCUUUUUAAAAACAUGGAUGCUGAAAUCUUUGGAGUUCAGAGAUACUUUUUUUUCAGAAAAGUUUAUUGGUAUCACAGACCACACAUCAAAGGAAAGCAUGCAUUUUAACUACCUAAUGAUUGUCUGAGUAACAAAAACAGGAAGAAAUAACAAAGAAAGAAAAAGAAAAUUAAAAUCAAAAGAAAACCAGAAAAAAAAAAAACCCUUAGUAGCCAGAAGUCUGUUUUACGAGUGAAACUUCUGCUGUGUAAGGAAUAAGGGAUUUCUUAAAAAUGUAUUUCCUAAAAUGGGCAAAACGUAGCACUUACUAGCCAUUCAGUCAACUUUGGAAUAUUCUCUUCAUUGUAAAGAAAGCACAAGUGUGUGUGACAUUUGUUCCCUUUUUCUUUCCCACCCCAAGCGCAAGGUAUUUUCACAGUCCUCAGCCAAAUACAGAGUUUGACGUUCCCUGGUGAACGGUCCCUGCGUGUUCUGUUGAAGGUUAGGAAUAGAAUGAGCCUAAUCCUGUCAGGAGACUGUUUAAGUCCCAGUCAAGGACACUAGCUCCUCAGCGCUGACGCAGUCUGCCCCCUGUCCUCUGCACCUUGCUAAGAAGGACAGACGCAAGUGGCCACAGGACAAGUCUCCAAAGGGGCGGAGCUGUGGAGAAAGCUACGGCAGAGAUCUCCCUGGAUUAGGAGCAGAUGCAAUCGAAUCUCCAGAAUUUGGAUUUAUAGCAGAAAAACCUAGAGAUGUUCAGUCUAAUCUUUAAAUUUCCCAAACCUGGGCAUUUCAUUGCCACUUUUCCCCUUCAAAUCUACAUUAUAAGAAGCAUGUUAAUCAUCGCAUUUAUGUGUAUGGUUAACAUUUUAAAUCCUCCGGUUAUUUUGAGCCUGGGCUUUGAGGGGGGCCGGGGGGGUGCGUCUAGCUAGAAUACUCGCUCCCCCUUAGUACUGGGAAGCCUUGGUCCGCAGGGCUGAGUGCAUAUGUAUUGCUGGAGGUGAGAGUCCAGCAGCAAAAUUAAAUGGCACCAGGAUGAAAUCUUUUUGAUGAAUGGUAGGUGAUCAUUCCAUUCCCAGGCAAGCCAUUUUUCCCCUGUUUUGUUUUGUUUUUUCUUUCUGUUUCUCUUCACCCCUUAAUUUUAUGUUGAAACUUCGGAUAGUUUGAAUGUGAAACUUCAGGUGAAAUCUAGCCCAAGCCACCGAGUUUCACCCAGCUUCCGCAUGAAAGAAGUGUUCUACCCAGCCUUGCACGAAACUUGGCCUGUGUUGCCAAAAGUUUCAUGAAUGUCAGUGAGCCUGGAUUUGAAACAUAACCCAAGGCCAGGUGACUUCUGGUGACUUUGAGGCUUUAUUGUAUUAGUAUAGAAUCUGCUGAACAGGGACAGUCCCAUUUCCGCAUCUUCUACUGUAGUUUCAUGAGGGCACACGUUUUCCCCCAGUAAACUCCCAUUUAUCUCAUGAUGUUUGAAAGCCAGGUUCAAUCCCAAUAUGAAUGUUUGUAGCCGUGGGAUCGAAGCACUGGCAGAUAGAGGUCUGCGCUUUAAACUCCAGCAGCCUGAGCUGCAGUGGUGUGAACGUGUUGCUAUAAUUCAGCUAAAGGAAGGAAGUCCCGGGAGAACCAUGGAAUGCCUUUCUUUGCUUCAAUAUACCUCUGUGCUCGUGAGGAACAAACAGUAACAUUUUGUCCAGGUCUAUCCGCUUGACAGUAUGCCUUUUGUUCCCUCUCCAAAGGUGGUGUUAAAUAUAUGGGUGGAAAAAAAAUAAACUUCCAGAUAUUUUUUUUUCCGCCUGCUCAACUGAUAUACUCCAAGGGAACAUUGCAAGCAUUGAGAAGUUCAGUGCUGUGGCUGGGAAUGUAAGGUAUACUGAGAAUAAAGGAGCCCUCAGUGAAGGCAGCAUCCCUGAGAAAAGCAUGGCAACCUAGAGUCGAUGUGGGUGUGAACGGUCAGAUGGGUCCUGGUUGGGAAGGGGUGUGUGUGUGUGUUUUCUGGGUGGGGGUAGUAGCGAGCAGAGAGGAAAAGGAGUAUUUGUAAGCUUUGUUCAGCAAAUCUGUCAUAUCGAAAACAAAAAUAAUCAAGCGCAGGAUCUGAAAACAUUCUUUUCUUUUGUAGAUCAUAUAAAUUUGUGUUGGCUGAAUAUUGAAUUUUUUUUGUAUUAUUUUUCUUAUUAGAGACACCAAGCGUUAGGAUUCCAGGCAUAGUAAAUAAUCUCCAAUGAAAAUAUGACCCAUUGGGAGACAUAAAAUCGUUGCAGAUAACUCCCAUGAGUCAGUCUCAGGAAGGUCCUCGUGGUUCUCUGGCAGUUAUGAAAUGUUAAGCCACCCAGGACACUAAGAUCUGACUUGUCCUUUUCUUAGUUGGGGGAUUUCUAAACUCAUGUGAAGAAUUUUCAUAGAAAUGAAUGUAUGGCCUCACUAAAGAUUUAGGCUAUCUUUGGUGAGAUACAUAGAUAUAGAUUUAUUAUAAAAUUAAAUUGCCAUCAAAUUUCAUUUUAAAAUUUCAUAGUCACUUAUAUAAAUAGACUUUCAUUAAAGAUGUGGUUUGCAUUUUAGCAGGUGACAUGCAGUGGAUGCCCUAGUAGAGAAAGCCUUGGAAAAGCUAGCAAUAACACAAUUUGGAAGUGCCAUAUAUAGAAGCUGCUUUUUAGCACUGGCUUCACUAGUCAUAGUGUAGCAUUUAUCAGCAUAUAUGAUUUUGAUAGCCCCAGACUGGUACAAUGAGCAGAGGAAAGGAAGAUGUUCAAAUGGAGGUUCUAGAGAAAAUCAUUCAGAACCAUCCCACAAGGAAGUUCUCACUAACCAUAUCAAGGUAUAAGGAGUUCAGUAGUUUUAAGACAUUCAUCAUCCUUAACAAAACAGAAAAAGGGGAAGGAUAGGCUGGGCAUGGUGGCUCAUGCCUAUAACCCCAUCACAUUGGGAGGCCAAGGCAGGUGGAUCACUUGAGGUCAGGAGUUCAAGACCAGCCUGACCAACAUGGUGAAACCCCAUCUCAACUAAAAAAAAAAAAAAAUGCAAAAUUAGCCAGGCAUGGUGGUGCACAUCUAUAAUCCCAGCUACUUGGGAGGCUGAAGUGGGAGAAUCGCUUGAACCUGGGAGGGGGAGGGUGCAGUGAGCCAAGAUCGCACAAUUGCACUCCAGCCUGGGCAACAAGAGUGAAACUCUAUCUCAAAAAAAAAAAAAAAAGAAAAAAAAGAAAAAAA
Molecule: small RNA, 4974 nt
Filed under: Pongo abelii (Sumatran orangutan)
Lineage: Eukaryota; Metazoa; Chordata; Mammalia; Primates; Hominidae
Description: retained intron
Source: RNAcentral